This 101-nucleotide ribosomal RNA is filed under the name Oryza glaberrima (African rice). Its description in RNAcentral is "rRNA EPlOGLG00000000442". Lineage: Eukaryota; Viridiplantae; Streptophyta; Magnoliopsida; Poales; Poaceae. The record is from RNAcentral.
GGGGAGAAUCGGAUGUAUUUUCUGUAGAUGUCCGUGGAUAUAUUAUUUACCUGAUUCCGAGUUCGUAUAAGAAAGUUAGUCCUAUUUUAAGAAAUGACACC